Molecule: ribosomal RNA, 548 nt
Filed under: Cophes sp. ARC3962
Lineage: Eukaryota; Metazoa; Arthropoda; Insecta; Coleoptera; Curculionidae
Description: partial 16S ribosomal RNA
Rfam family: Bacterial large subunit ribosomal RNA
Source: RNAcentral
UUAUUAAAAACAUGGCCUUUUGAUUAUAAUUUAAGGUCAGGCCUGCCCAAUGAGUAUUUAAAUGGCCGCGGUAAUUUGACCGUGCAAAGGUAGCAUAAUCACUAGUUUUUUAAUUGAAAGCUUGUAUGAAAGGUUCGAUGAGAAAAUAACUGUCUCUAUUUAAAUUUAUUAGAAUUUUAUUUUUAAGUUAAAAAGCUUAAAUACAUAUAAAAGACGAGAAGACCCUGUAGAGUUUUAUAUAAAUAAGUAUAUUUAUAUAAUUUUUAGAAUUUAUUUGUAGGAUAUAUUUUUAUAUUUGGUUGGGGAAACAAAAAAAUUAAAAAAACUUUUUUUUAAUUAAAACAAUAAUAUUUGAAUAUGUGAUCCUUAUAUUAAGAUUAAAAGAUUAAAUUACCUCAGGGAUAACAGCGUAAUUUUUUUCAAGAGUUCAAAUCAAAAAAAAAGAUUGCGACCUCGAUGUUGGAUUAAAAUAAAAUAUUGGUGUAGAAGCUAAUAUAUUAGGUCUGUUCGACCUUUUAAAUUUUACAUGAUCUGAGUUUAAACCGGUG